RNAcentral lists this long non-coding RNA (1068 nucleotides) under Canis lupus familiaris (dog). RNAcentral's name for it is "lncRNA (ENSCAFG00000056534.1)". The record is from RNAcentral. Lineage: Eukaryota; Metazoa; Chordata; Mammalia; Carnivora; Canidae.
GCCAGGCUGGGCAGGAGGUGAGGCCGAGGGGGCUCCUGGAGGGCGGGAAGGACCCAAGCGGAGGGUUUGGUGCCAAGAGCUGGGGGCAGCAGCGGCGGAGGGGGUGGGCAGGAGGUUGGGAGGUUGGGCUGCAGGCGAGACAGGGUGAAGGUCAGCGAGGAGCUUCCCGGAGCCUCCGGGGGACAAGGCUGCGAUGACCUCCUCCCGGUCCCGGCAGGGGAGGAAUGGGUGGGAUCCGGUCAGAGGGUCAGAGCGAGGGCGGGCCGGAGGCAGGAGUGGGGCAAGUGUGACAUCUUUUCAGGUAAAGUCGUGGCCACUCCCGCUGCGGUGAGACGACCGGAAGGGAAACCGGUGAGAGCGGAGGUGUCUUUUGAAAACAUUUCUGGAACAAGCAGGAGCAGGCCCCGGCGGGCCCCUGGAGGACGGCUUUGGGGGGCCAAGCCAGCAGACGGCCACUAACCUCCUGGGACAACCCCCACCAUCAGCUGCUCACACGGGGCCUGAGUCAGCUCUGGAAUGAACCGGAGUGGUGCUUUAGGACUUGGCCUCUGCUUCAGGGAGUUGACGGUCCUGCCUGGGAAUCUGGGGUUCAUGUCCCUUUGAGGGCAUCUGGAAGGAAAGAGGCCAUGAGCUUCAGAGCAAGAAUGAAGAAGCACAUGGUGGUGGUGUGGGACCUGCACGGAGUACCUCUGUUAGGCCCACCCCUCACAGUCGUGGGGCUCGGGGCAGAAGGACAAAUGGAAGCCCACGUAAGACAUGUCUAGAUAUUUAUUUAUUUAUUUUUAAGAUUUUAUUUAUUUAAUGAGAGACACAGAGAGAGAGAGGCAGAGACACAGGCAGAGGGGAAAGCAGGCUCCAUGCAGGGGGCCUCAUGUGGGACUCGAUCCUGGGACUCCAGGAUCACACUCUGGACUGAAGGAAGCACCAAACUGCUGAGCCCCCCGGGCUGCCCAUCACACGUCUAGAUAUUUAAAAGUUAUAAAUCAAGCUAACAAAAUUAGCCUCCCACGUGGAUAAACGUAUUUUGAGAAUAGCCUGGAAGGUCAGGUUGCAUUAAUUCUUGGACUC